UAAAUCUUUGGUAAAGCUUGGCUUAUUGACAGUAUUAGAGAUUGUUCUUGUAGGCUUAUCUGUUCUUUUUCUACAUGAGAUGUUUAAGGGACAAAAGUAGAUAGACUUGCAGGAAAUAGAAGCUUGUAUGCAUUUUCCUUGUAGGCCUAUUUCUUUUUAUUUAAUUUAAUAUGGCGGAUGUUUUAGAGAAGAAAUGAUAAGACUAUCA
RNAcentral lists this long non-coding RNA (208 nucleotides) under Setaria viridis. RNAcentral's name for it is "long non-coding RNA (SVIR_LNC008590)". The record is from RNAcentral. Lineage: Eukaryota; Viridiplantae; Streptophyta; Magnoliopsida; Poales; Poaceae.